Molecule: ribosomal RNA, 821 nt
Filed under: uncultured Alphaproteobacteria bacterium
Lineage: Bacteria; Pseudomonadati; Pseudomonadota; Alphaproteobacteria
Description: bacterial SSU rRNA
Rfam family: Bacterial small subunit ribosomal RNA
Source: RNAcentral
AACGAACGCUGGCGGCAGGCCUAACACAUGCAAGUCGAACGCUCUAGCAAUAGAGAGUGGCAGACGGGUGAGUAACGCGUGGGAAUCUUCCUAUCGGUACGGAAUAGCUCAGGGAAACUUGGGGUAAUACCGCAUACGCCCUUCGGGGGAAAGAUUUAUCGGCGAUAGAUGAGCCCGCGUCUGAUUAGCUAGUUGGUGAGGUAAUGGCUCACCAAGGCGACGAUCAGUAGCUGGUCUGAGAGGAUGACCAGCCACACUGGGACUGAGACACGGCCCAGACUCCUACGGGAGGCAGCAGUGGGGAAUAUUGGACAAUGGGCGCAAGCCUGAUCCAGCCAUGCCGCGUGAGUGACGAAGGUCUUCGGAUUGUAAAACUCUUUUGGCGGGGACGAUAAUGACGAUACCCGCAGAAUAAGCCCCGGCUAACUUCGUGCCAGCAGCCGCGGUAAUACGAAGGGGGCUAGCGUUGUUCGGAAUUACUGGGCGUAAAGCGCACGUAGGCGGAUUUGUAAGUCAGGGGUGAAAUCCCGGGGCUCAACCUCGGAACUGCCUUUGAUACUGCAAGUCCUGAGUCCGGAAGAGGUGAGUGGAAUUCCUAGUGUAGAGGUGAAAGUCGUAGAUAUUAGGAAGAACACCAGUGGCGAAGGCGGSUCACUKGUCCSGUACUGACGCUKAGGUGCGAAAGCGUGGGGAGCAAACAGGACUAGAUACCCUGGUAGUCCACGCCGUAAACUAUGGAUGCUAGCCGUCNGCAAGCUUGCUUGUCGGUGGCGCAGCUAACGCUUUAAGCAUCCCGCCUGGGGAGUACGGCCGCAAGGUUA